AUUCUUUGUUAUCUUUAAUCCAUCUGGAUUUCCUCAACACAGCUAUUUUGAAUUCUCUGCCUGAAAGGUUAUAUAUCUGUUUCUCCAAGAGUUGUCCCUGGUGACUUAUUUAGUUCA
This is a long non-coding RNA of Sapajus apella (tufted capuchin), 117 nucleotides long. RefSeq lists it as uncharacterized. Lineage: Eukaryota; Metazoa; Chordata; Mammalia; Primates; Cebidae. The transcript is spliced from 3 exons. The record is from RefSeq and is a predicted model, not a curated record.